Long non-coding RNA from Drosophila virilis, 809 nucleotides. RefSeq lists it as uncharacterized. The record is from RefSeq and is a predicted model, not a curated record. NCBI's taxonomy places the organism in Eukaryota, Metazoa, Arthropoda, Insecta, Diptera, Drosophilidae.
UGUGACUUUAAUUUGACAUUGACAUUCAAAUUUUUACUCAACUUUAUUUUGUUUAUUGCUCUAUUUCUGGUUUUCUGUCGCUCUUCCGCAAACACAUCCACGCCUCGCCACGCUUCAAAGGCUGCCCGACGGCCAACGACACCGUUCUGGAGCAGUACACACGAUUAACGAGGGGAUGGGACUAGGUACAUUUAUCUCGUACAUGGCCAAGUGCGAUAUAGAAAACAGACAGACGGAAAACUACGAAUUUGUUUUGUGACAGCGCGCUAAACGAGUAAAAGCCAGACGAGCUAUUUUAUGCAUUAUAUUUGGACCGAUGAGAAAAUACCCUAAGCUUCGAAAUUGAACUUGGUUGAUAAAGUAAAUUUCGUCAACAAUGCUUAGCUCGAAAGUUACCUAAGAUCAAUUUGAAUUUGGAAACUUGCAAAAGCCAGUCGACAUAUGCCUUUAGUUGCAAAUUUAACAUAUAUUAUAAGCGACAUCAAUGAGCUCCGACAAGUGCCAUGCCCACUGUGCGCUCAUUACUCAAGUAUGUCAUCAAAAAAUAUAAAAAAAAAAGCGUGACGCGUAAAGAAUUGCUCAUACGCAACGUUGCCUCCAUUUUACGCAUAAGUCGGCAAUAAGCAGACAACAGGCUUUAAGGAUCUCGGGCAUUGGGACAGCUUAUGGUAUUUCAUUUAUUAUUCAGCAUGUGGAAUGCUUGCACGCAUACAAAUGGAAUGUUUCCAUGCACAUAUAUAUGUUGAAUACGCGUGUGCAUAUAUAUUCUUAAUGGGCAUUUCUUGAAAAUACAAUAGAUUCAAUUAAAA